Molecule: ribosomal RNA, 442 nt
Filed under: uncultured Anaerolineaceae bacterium
Lineage: Bacteria; Bacillati; Chloroflexota; Anaerolineae; Anaerolineales; Anaerolineaceae
Description: bacterial SSU rRNA
Rfam family: Bacterial small subunit ribosomal RNA
Source: RNAcentral
AAGCAGCGGAGCGUGUGGUUAAUUCGAUGCUACACGAAGAACCUUACCUGGGUUUGACAUAGAGGUAGUAGGGAAGCGAAAGCGGACCGACCCUUCGGGAGCCUCUACAGGUGUUGGCAUGGCUGUCGUCAGCUCGUGUCGUGAGAUGUUCGGUUAAGUCCGCUAACGAGCGCAACCCUCGCUGUGUGUUACAAGUGUCACACGGUACUGCCGAUAUUAAGUCGGAGGAAGGUGGGGAUGACGUCAAGUCAGCAUGACCUUUAUAUCCAGGGCUACACACACGCUACAAUGGCCAGUACAAUGGGUUGCCAAGCCGCGAGGCGGAGCCAAUCCUAAAAAGCUGGCCUCAGUUCAGAUUGCAGUCUGCAACUCGACUGCAUGAAGUUGGAGUUGCUAGUAACCGCAGGUCAGCAAUACUGCGGUGAAUACGUUCCCGGGGAUU